Molecule: ribosomal RNA, 466 nt
Filed under: uncultured bacterium
Lineage: Bacteria
Description: partial 16S ribosomal RNA
Rfam family: Bacterial small subunit ribosomal RNA
Source: RNAcentral
GACGAACGCUGGCGGCGUGCUUAACACAUGCAAGUCGAACGGUGAGGCCCUUCGGGGUACACGAGUGGCGAACUGGUGAGUAACACGUGGGUGAUCUGCCCUGCACUUCGGGAUAAGCCUGGGAAACUGGGUCUAAUACCGGAUAAUGUCUUCGGACCAAAGGUGUGAUUCCACCUUGGGAGGGGCCUGCAUCCUAUUAGCUUGUUGGUGGGGUGAUGGCCUACCAAGGCGACGACGGGUAGCCGGCCUGAGAGGGUGAACGGCCACACUGGGACUGAGAUACGGCCCAGACUCCUACGGGAGGCAGCAGUGGGGAAUAUUGCACAAUGGGCGCAAGCCUGAUGCAGCGACGCCGCGUGGGGGAUGACGGCCUUCGGGUUGUAAACCUCUUUCAGCACCGACGAAGCGCAAGUGACGGUAGGUGCAGAAGAAGGACCGGCCAACUACGUGCCAGCCGCCGCCGUAA